UACGUAGGUGGCAAGCGUUAUCCGGAUUUAUUGGGCGUAAAGGGAACGCAGGCGGUCUUUUAAGUCUGAUGUGAAAGCCUUCGGCUUAACCGGAGUAGUGCAUUGGAAACUGGGAGACUUGAGUGCAGAAGAGGAGAGUGGAACUCCAUGUGUAGCGGUGAAAUGCGUAGAUAUAUGGAAGAACACCAGUGGCGAAAGCGGCUCUCUGGUCUGUAACUGACGCUGAGGUUCGAAAGAGUGGGUAGCAAACAGG
This 253-nucleotide ribosomal RNA is filed under the name uncultured bacterium. RNAcentral describes it as "partial 16S ribosomal RNA". It matches the Rfam family "Bacterial small subunit ribosomal RNA", at positions 524 to 776 of the family's 1533-position model. The record is from RNAcentral.